AUUUAGGUCAUCCUGUAUAUGUCAUCUGCGGUUUUUCCUGCAUCCACCUUGUGUGAUUGUGUGUGUGCUCGUCAGUCGCGGGGGGAACGGAGCAGCAGCCCCACCCGCUACAGCAAGCCGACAGGUUUGAAACUGCAGCAACUUUCAGCAACUUUUAAAUCAUUUUAGUCUACA
This is a long non-coding RNA of Etheostoma spectabile (orangethroat darter), 174 nucleotides long. RefSeq lists it as uncharacterized. Lineage: Eukaryota; Metazoa; Chordata; Actinopteri; Perciformes; Percidae. The transcript has 3 exons. The record is from RefSeq and is a predicted model, not a curated record.